UUUCAUAUUAUUCAUUUCUCAUUAACUUGAUUUUCCGAUUUUAUAAUAAUAUUUUUUUGGCUUUUGGACUAACCAAGAUUAUGACCCAAUCCAAGACUGACAAAAUUACAUGCGUAAACCUAUGGACGCUAUCCCACGCAUAAGCUCCUAGAGGUUAUCCCAUGCAUAAGUUUAUAACGCUAUCCCACGCGUAAACCGGUGGAAGCUAUCCCACGCAUAAACUCGUAAAGGCUAUCCCACGCAUAAGCCUAUAGACACUAUCCCAUAACAAGGUGAGUCCAAACCAUAUCUUAUCCGUCUAAUUUAGAUGUUACUCUUGUUAAAUCAAUUUCUACUAAUAUAAUGCAUUUUUCUCAAAUUCAAGGUAUCAUCAUUUACAUAACCAUGCUUUUAAUAACUAAUACAUAAAUUAUGCAUACAAGUAUAUUC
RNAcentral lists this long non-coding RNA (429 nucleotides) under Phoenix dactylifera (date palm). RNAcentral's name for it is "long non-coding RNA (PDAC_LNC018034)". Lineage: Eukaryota; Viridiplantae; Streptophyta; Magnoliopsida; Arecales; Arecaceae. The record is from RNAcentral.